RNAcentral lists this ribosomal RNA (254 nucleotides) under uncultured bacterium. Its description in RNAcentral is "partial 16S ribosomal RNA". It matches the Rfam family "Bacterial small subunit ribosomal RNA", at positions 524 to 776 of the family's 1533-position model. The record is from RNAcentral.
GACGAACCGUGCGAACGUUAUUCGGAAUCAUUGGGCUUAAAGAGCGCGUAGGCGGCGACGUAAGUUGGAAGUGAAAUCCCAUCGGCUCAACCGUGGAAUCGCUCCCAGUACUGCGUUGCUCGAGGGAGAUAGGGGCCUGUGGAACUGCCGGUGGAGCGGUGAAAUGCGUAGAUAUCAUGAGGAAGACCAGUGGCGAAGGCGGGUCUCUGGACAGUUCCUGACACUGAGACACGAAGGCCAGGGGAGCAAACGGG